Molecule: long non-coding RNA, 1901 nt
Organism: Apteryx owenii (little spotted kiwi)
Lineage: Eukaryota; Metazoa; Chordata; Aves; Apterygiformes; Apterygidae
Source: Ensembl
CCGCCUUUGUCUGCUGCCCUCGCCCGAGGGCCGGAGCGCCUGGGCUGCGGCCUGCCCGCGCGGGCAGCGAUGGCGCCUCCCGCCAGCGCGGCUGGUCUCCCUUCCCCAGCUCGCGGCUCUCGGGCCCUUCCUCAGGGACAGCAGUGAGCUUCAGCCCGUGAGUUAACCACGGCCGCCGCAGAGCCCCCGGAGAGCGGCGAGACAGGAUCGGAGGCAGCUUCUGAACCGCUUCUCACACAGAUCUGUUAGCUUCACACCUAGCGCUCACCCCGCCAGCCCAGCCCAUGAAAAGCAAGCUUGGGUGCUUGUUCACGUGGGCUAACAUGGUCCUGCGAUCGCUUCGUCAGCAGAAACAACUUGACUCAAAUUCUUGUUUCAGAAUGAACACCCAUGCAUUUUUGGUAAAGAUUUUAUUUGCCAAACAUUUUCUCAUCUCUAAAGGAAGUUCAUAGACCUGUAUAAACUUUGACAAGCAAAGGUGAUCUCUGACCCUUGCGAUAAUGGAGUCACAGCAGAGACAAAAGUCCCAAUGUCACAGCUCCCACCCAAGGAUGUUUUUUUGGUUACUGAUCUGUUUGCAAGUCCAGAGUAGACAGAUGACUCCAGUGCCAUACAGAUGUGCCAGACAGAGGAUGGAACAGUGCCACAGGACUACUUUGCUUGCUGUGGCAGGAAUACAAAUUGGCGAUGGAUUUUGUGCUAAAUGCAACCAGCCCCAAUGGACCCCACCUCCAACUKCAGUGUUUGAGUGCAUUACUGUUGAGCCACUGAAUCGCCAAAUAAAUAAGCCUCUUGGGCAACAGCAGACUGUAAUCAGUGGCCAUUGCUUAACUCAAGCAUUUGGAGUGUUUCUGUCAGCUUCAAAUCAAAAUGCCACUGACUUAAUAUCAUCUUGCUCAUUGCUGGGUUCUCCAUGCAAAGCAGCACCUCUUCAUGAUGCUGAGACAAGCAGCUCAGGUGCCAUAAAAACAAGAAAUUUAGUCAUGAUGGGAGCAACUUGGCACAGGAAGACUGUCCAAAGAUUUCCCCACAGGGCAGGAAUAGCUAUUUCUCUUAUCAGGGAUGGUGGCUGGCGGUGGUGGCUGCACGCUCCUGUUCAGCUGCAUGAUGCAGCUCUGCUGAAAAUGAAGGUUUUGGAUCUGGUAACUCAGAACAGAGUCUGAUCCUGUAAGAAGCGAACACAGUACAUUCCUCUACAGACCUGAACUGCUUAAGACAUUUUUUUUUUUUCUCCAAUCAACCAAAACCUAAAUUCUUGCUCUGGGUCCAGAACAAGUUGAAAAUCCCAGGUGGGUUGAAAUCAAAGACAAAAGUAAGGAAGGAAGUGUAUUGAUGUAAUUUAUUACAGAAGUGCCUAAAGACCAACCAUAAAAGGAUCUUGUGGUAGCAGGUACCAUGCAAUAGAGAAUAAGAAACAGCUCUUGCCCGGAAAAGCUUCCAAUCUUAGACUAAGCAGACAAGGGGAACCUGUAAUAGGAUGAAAGAUGGUGUCUCAGAGAGACACCCAUUAGCGCAAUCUAAAAUGAAGCUACAUGUCUGUCAGACACAGCCGACUUGGCGCAUUCAGCAAAGCAUUUAAGUGAAGUCUGAGUUUUGGACAUAUGAAUAAGUCCAGUAAAACCAGCACGUUACCACAGUACAGGCCUGCAUAUCCCCCCACAGGCAUGUCCACCUUCAGAAGGUGCUGGGUUUAAUCUGAGACCUUGCAGAAGUCAGCACACUGACAGCUUUAAGACAGGCCUUAAAGGCCAUAAAUGUACAGAAGAAAGUGUAAUUCRCCUCAGCAAACUCGUGCCUGGCAAAAAGGUGAUGGGUUUGCUGUACACAGGGUAGAUUUUGAUAAUGGUGGGUAACACUGCUGCCUAAAUAAACAAGAAAAGAGUGUGAAUAUUCUUAGUAAC